Molecule: ribosomal RNA, 1434 nt
Filed under: uncultured bacterium
Lineage: Bacteria
Description: bacterial SSU rRNA
Rfam family: Bacterial small subunit ribosomal RNA
Source: RNAcentral
GGCAGGCUUAACACAUGCAAGUCGAGCGGUAACAGGAGAAGCUUGCUUCUCGCUGACGAGCGGCGGACGGGUGAGUAAUACUUAGGAAUCUGCCCAGUAGUGGGGGAUAGCUCGGGGAAACUCGAAUUAAUACCGCAUACACCCUACGGGGAAAAGGGGGCGCUUGCGCUCUCGCUAUUGGAUGAGCCUAAGUCGGAUUAGCUAGUUGGUGGGGUAAAGGCCUACCAAGGCGACGAUCUGUAGCUGGUCUGAGAGGAUGAUCAGCCACACCGGGACUGAGACACGGCCCGGACUCCUACGGGAGGCAGCAGUGGGGAAUAUUGGACAAUGGGGGCAACCCUGAUCCAGCCAUGCCGCGUGUGUGAAGAAGGCCUUUUGGUUGUAAAGCACUUUAAGCAGUGAAGAAGACCUAACGGUUAAUACCCGUUAGCGAUGACAUUAGCUGCAGAAUAAGCACCGGCUAACUCUGUGCCAGCAGCCGCGGUAAUACAGAGGGUGCAAGCGUUAAUCGGAAUUACUGGGCGUAAAGCGAGCGUAGGUGGCUUGAUAAGUCAGAUGUGAAAUCCCCGGGCUUAACCUGGGAACUGCAUCUGAUACUGUCAGGCUAGAGUAGGUGAGAGGGAGGUAGAAUUUCAGGUGUAGCGGUGAAAUGCGUAGAGAUCUGAAGGAAUACCGAUGGCGAAGGCAGCCUCCUGGCAUCAUACUGACACUGAGGUUCGAAAGCGUGGGUAGCAAACAGGAUUAGAUACCCUGGUAGUCCACGCCGUAAACGAUGUCUACUAGUCGUUGGGGAACUUGAUUCCUUAGUGACGCAGCUAACGCAAUAAGUAGACCGCCUGGGGAGUACGGCCGCAAGGUUAAAACUCAAAUGAAUUGACGGGGGCCCGCACAAGCGGUGGAGCAUGUGGUUUAAUUCGAUGCAACGCGAAGAACCUUACCUGGUCUUGACAUAUCUAGAAUCCUGCAGAGAUGCGGGAGUGCCUUCGGGAAUUAGAAUACAGGUGCUGCAUGGCUGUCGUCAGCUCGUGUCGUGAGAUGUUGGGUUAAGUCCCGCAACGAGCGCAACCCUUUUCCUUAGUUACCAGCGGUUUGGCCGGGGACUCUAAGGAUACUGCCAGUGACAAACUGGAGGAAGGCGGGGACGACGUCAAGUCAUCAUGGCCCUUACGACCAGGGCUACACACGUGCUACAAUGGUAGGUACAGAGGGCAGCUACACAGCGAUGUGAUGCGAAUCUCAAAAAGCCUAUCGUAGUCCAGAUUGGAGUCUGCAACUCGACUCCAUGAAGUAGGAAUCGCUAGUAAUCGCGGAUCAGAAUGCCGCGGUGAAUACGUUCCCGGGCCUUGUACACACCGCCCGUCACACCAUGGGAGUUGAUUGCACCAGAAGUGGGUAGCCUAACUUUUAGAGGGCGCUCACCACGGUGUGGUUGAU